RNAcentral lists this unclassified non-coding RNA (237 nucleotides) under Glomus sp. RNAcentral describes it as "partial contains 5.8S ribosomal RNA and internal transcribed spacer 2". The stretch from base 1 to 65 matches the Rfam family "5.8S ribosomal RNA", at positions 84 to 154 of the family's 154-position model. The record is from RNAcentral. Lineage: Eukaryota; Fungi; Glomeromycota; Glomeromycetes; Glomerales; Glomeraceae.
GUGAAUCAUCAAAUUUUUGAACGCAAAUUGCACUCUCUUCGGAGAGUAUGCCUGUUUGAGGGUCAGCCUAAAAAAAUCGACAUUGUUGCCGUUUCGCGGUGGCGUUUGGCGGAAAUUGGGUUAUCUUAAAACCUUUUGGGUUUUAAGCGACUUAAAAUUUUUUUUUUUGUUCCCUUAACGUUUUUAAAAUUUUUUUUUUUACCCCUUUUAGGUAUCGAUUUUUUUUUGAACUUACCC